AGGUCGACGAUUUCCGUAGGUGAACCUGCGGAAGGAU
This 37-nucleotide ribosomal RNA is filed under the name Pleurotus nebrodensis. Its description in RNAcentral is "partial 18S ribosomal RNA". The record is from RNAcentral. Lineage: Eukaryota; Fungi; Basidiomycota; Agaricomycetes; Agaricales; Pleurotaceae.